Colias croceus (clouded yellow) is the source of this 456-nucleotide long non-coding RNA. RefSeq lists it as uncharacterized. The record is from RefSeq and is a predicted model, not a curated record. Lineage: Eukaryota; Metazoa; Arthropoda; Insecta; Lepidoptera; Pieridae. The transcript is spliced from 2 exons.
CGUAAUAAUAAAUCAGAUCUGUACCAUAAUAUUAUUUUAAAUUACACAUGCGAGUUUUUAAAAUAUUGUAUUAUCACACUAUCUGUGGCACUGUAGUAAAGCCACAGAUCUAGUGCUAGAUCUGUGAGUAAAGCAGUUAAAACAUUUGUUUCGAUUGUCAAACUAGGGUUAAGCUACUUAGAGCGCGGUCAAUUUUUGGAUGGGCAAUUGGUAGUUAAUAUUUGAACUGAUUAUUUUCGUUAAGAGGUAUAAGCAUAUAUUGUAAUACUGUUACACAGUAUUUUAGAGGUUGUAUUCAAGAUAUUGUAUUAUUUAUCCUCCUCCUCCUAUGGGUCCUCCUGACACAGGUUUUUGUAAACUUACCAGGAGGACUCAUCUUUUAUUUUGUAAUCUAAGGACUCAUCCAUUUUCUGUAUUUGAAAAUUGUGUGUAUGAAAUAAAGAUAUUUUUCAUUUU